UCCGGUGGUUUGAGCGAGCUGGUACUACCUGAUACCAUUCCGAACUCAGAAGUAAAACGGUUCAGCGCCUACGAUACUGGGAUUUAUCCUGGGACAAUAGGUCACUGCCGGGC
This 113-nucleotide ribosomal RNA is filed under the name Candidatus Levybacteria bacterium RIFCSPHIGHO2_01_FULL_38_26. Lineage: Bacteria; Candidatus Levyibacteriota. The record is from RNAcentral.